Molecule: long non-coding RNA, 2168 nt
Organism: Eriocheir sinensis (Chinese mitten crab)
Lineage: Eukaryota; Metazoa; Arthropoda; Malacostraca; Decapoda; Varunidae
Exons: 2
Source: RefSeq, a predicted model, not a curated record
UGUGUGUGUGUGUGUGUGUGUGUGUGUGUGUGUGUUGGAUGUAUGUCUGCGUGUGUGUGUGUGCGUGUGUAUGUCAGUCCUCCUCGCGCACCUGAUAAACUUUUCACUCUUGCAGGAAUUCUAUUAAACUCUAUUCAUAACAUUAUUUUUAUCUAGUGAAUAAACGUAAUAUGUUCACGUUUAAUAAUUAUCAAGGUGAAGUCUCGGCCUUAACAGCACUCUCAUUCCUAGCUCUAAUGGACGCUUCUGGGAGCUAUUUGUAUGUAUAUUAUAGCCUUGUUUAAUUGCUUGCCGUGUUGCUGAGAAUCACGUCUGUCAACCUUGAAUAUCUUAGCGGAAAACAAGGCCAAACGAAACAGGGUGAAGAAAAGGGUUGAAUAUCUUAGCGGGAAACAAGGCCAAACGAAACAGGGUGAAGAAAAGGGUUGAAUAUCUUAGCGGGAAACAAGGCCAAACGAAACAGGGUGAAGAAAAGGGUUGAAUAUCUUAGUGGGAAACAAGGCCAAACGAAACAGGGUGAAGAAAAGGGUUGAAUAUCUUAGUGGGAAACAAGGCCAAACGAAACAGGGUGAAGAAAAGGGUUGAAUAUCUUAGUGGGAAACAAGACCAAACGAAACAGGGUGAAGAAAAGGGUUGAAUAUCUUAGCGGGAAACAAGGCCAAACGAAACAGGGUGAAGAAAAGGGUUGAAUAUCUUAGCGGGAAACAAGGCCAAACGAAACAGGGUGAAGAAAAGGGUUGAAUAUCUUAGCGGGAAACAAGGCCAAACGAAACAGGGUGAAGAAAAGGGUUGAAUAUCUUAGCGGGAAACAAGGCCAAACGAAACAGGGUGUAGAAAAGGGUUGAAUAUCUUAGUGGGAAACAAGACCAAACGAAACAGGGUGUAGAAAAGGGUUGAAUAUCUUAGUGGGAAACAAGACCAAACGAAACAGGGUGUAGAAAAGGGUUGAAUAUCUUAGUGGGAAACAAGACCAAACGAAACAGGGUGUAGAAAAGGGUUGAAUGUCUUAGCGGGAAACAAGGCCAAACGAAACAGGGUGAAGAAAAGGGUUGAAUAUCUUAGCGGAAAACAAGGCCAGACGAGGAUAAACAAACAGGGUGAAGAAAAGGGUUGAAUAUCUUAGCGGGAAACAAGGCCAGACGAGGAUAAACAAACAGGGUGAGGAAAAGGAUAAAGCAGAACGAGGAAGUAAGAAAAGAAUGCAAGUAGAGAAAAAGGGAGGAAGGAGGAGGAUAAGGAAGUAGAGAGAAAUGGGAUAAAGAAAAGGGGUAAAGCGAAACCAAGAAAUAGCGAAAGAAAAAGGGAGAAAAAGUAGGGUGGAAAAAUAGGUUACAGAAUAAAGAUACGGUAAAGAAAAAGGGUUAAGUAAAUAGGGAGACAUAAAUAGGAUAAGAAAAUGUUGGGUUAAGAAAGAAAUAGGAUAAAGAAACGGAUAAAUAAAUUGGAUAUAGAAAGAAAUAGGUUAAAGAAAUAGGUAAAGAAAUAGGGAAAAAAAAGUAGGAUAAAAAAGUAGCGUAAGGAAAGAAAUAGAAAAGAAAAGAAAAAUGGGAAAGCGGAAGCAAGGGAUAAAGAAACAAAGAAAACAAGGAAACAACUAAAACGAAAACACAAAAAUGCCUCCCUGUCGCUGCUCCUGAUACAAAAAAAAAAAAAAAGAACGUGAUAAGGGAGAAGACUUAAACGCAACAACAACAACAAUAAAAAAAAAGCGAGAGGACAGUUUGUACUCAGAGAUGUCUUUCAUGAAACAAAAAAAAAAAGAAAAAAGAACGUGAUAAAGGAGAAGACUUAAACGCAAUAACAACAACAAUAAAAAAAGAAAAAAAAAAGAAAAAGCGAGAGGACAGUUUGGAUUCAGAGAUGUCUUUCAUGUGUGUGUGUGUGUGUGUGUGUGUGUGUUGCGACAGAGAAGAACCCAUAGUCAUGCUCCACUCCACGACACAUGAUGAACGCGUCCCCCAUCUCCUUUAAGAGCCGCGUCGCACAUGAAUAUAAUUGUCUUUAAGAGCAUGUGUCGUGCGUUGUGCCCUUGCCUCCCCUCCCUCGCCGCGCCAUUCAUAAUUACAGAGCCAGAGAAUAGUUACUUGUUUGUUAGUCCUAUCAACACACACACACACACACACACACACACACACACACACACACACACACACACACACACACACACA